CACUAUCGUUAACUGAAUACAUAGGUUAACGAGGCGAACCGGGGGAACUGAAACAUCUAAGUACCCCGAGGAAAAGAAAUCAACCGAGAUUCCCCCAGUAGCGGCGAGCGAACGGGGAGCAGCCCAGAGUCUGAAUCAGCUUGUGUGUUAGUGGAACGGUCUGGAAAGUCCGACGGUACAGGGUGAUAGUCCCGUACACCAAAAUGCACAGGCUGUGAACUCGAAGAGUAGGGCGGGACACGUGGUAUCCUGUCUGAAUAUGGGGGGACCAUCCUCCAAGGCUAAAUACUCCUGACUGACCGAUAGUGAACCAGUACCGUGAGGGAAAGGCGAAAAGAACCCCGGCGAGGGGAGUGAAAAAGAACCUGAAACCGUGUACGUACAAGCAGUGGGAGCACCUUCGGGUGUGACUGCGUACCUUUUGUAUAAUGGGUCAGCGACUUAUAUUCUGUAGCAAGGUUAACCGUAUAGGGGAGCCGCAGGGAAACCGAGUCUUAACUGGGCGUUAAGUUGCAGGGUAUAGACCCGAAACCCGGUGAUCUAGCCAUGGGCAGGUUGAAGGUUGGGUAACACUAACUGGAGGACCGAACCGACUAAUGUUGAAAAAUUAGCGGAUGACUUGUGGCUGGGGGUGAAAGGCCAAUCAAACCGGGAGAUAGCUGGUUCUCCCCGAAAGCUAUUUAGGUAGCGCCUCGUGAAUUCAUCUUCGGGGGUAGAGCACUGUUUCGGCUAGGGGGUCAUCCCGACUUACCAACCCGAUGCAAACUACGAAUACCGAAGAAUGUUAUCACGGGAGACACACGGCGGGUGCUAACGUCCGUCGUGAAGAGGGAAACAACCCAGACCGCCAGCUAAGGUCCCAAAGUCAUGGUUAAGUGGGAAACGAUGUGGGAAGGCACAGACAGCCAGGAUGUUGGCUUAGAAGCAGCCAUCAUUUAAAGAAAGCGUAAUAGCUCACUGGUCGAGUCGGCCUGCGCGGAAGAUGUAACGGGGCUAAACCAUGCACCGAAGCUGCGGCAGCGACACUAUGUGUUGUUGGGUAGGGGAGCGUUCUGUAAGCCUGCGAAGGUGUGCUGUGAGGCAUGCUGGAGGUAUCAGAAGUGCGAAUGCUGACAUAAGUAACGAUAAAGCGGGUGAAAAGCCCGCUCGCCGGAAGACCAAGGGUUCCUGUCCAACGUUAAUCGGGGCAGGGUGAGUCGACCCCUAAGGCGAGGCCGAAAGGCGUAGUCGAUGGGAAACAGGUUAAUAUUCCUGUACUUGGUGUUACUGCGAAGGGGGGACGGAGAAGGCUAUGUUAGCCGGGCGACGGUUGUCCCGGUUUAAGCAUGUAGGCUGGUUAUCCAGGCAAAUCCGGAUAAUCAAGGCUGAGGUGUGAUGACGAGGCACUACGGUGCUGAAGUAACAAAUGCCCUGCUUCCAGGAAAAGCCUCUAAGCAUCAGGUAACAUCAAAUCGUACCCCAAACCGACACAGGUGGUCAGGUAGAGAAUACCAAGGCGCUUGAGAGAACUCGGGUGAAGGAACUAGGCAAAAUGGUGCCGUAACUUCGGGAGAAGGCACGCUGGUGUGUAGGUGAAGCCCCUGCGGGUGGAGCUGAGACCAGUCGAAGAUACCAGCUGGCUGCAACUGUUUAUUAAAAACACAGCACUGUGCAAACACGAAAGUGGACGUAUACGGUGUGACGCCUGCCCGGUGCCGGAAGGUUAAUUGAUGGGGUUAUCCGUAAGGAGAAGCUCUUGAUCGAAGCCCCGGUAAACGGCGGCCGUAACUAUAACGGUCCUAAGGUAGCGAAAUUCCUUGUCGGGUAAGUUCCGACCUGCACGAAUGGCGUAAUGAUGGCCAGGCUGUCUCCACCCGAGACUCAGUGAAAUUGAACUCGCUGUGAAGAUGCAGUGUACCCGCGGCAAGACGGAAAGACCCCGUGAACCUUUACUAUAGCUUGACACUGAACAUUGAGCCUUGAUGUGUAGGAUAGGUGGGAGGCUUUGAAGCGUGGACGCCAGUCUGCGUGGAGCCAACCUUGAAAUACCACCCUUUAAUGUUUGAUGUUCUAACGUUGGCCCCUGACCGGGGUUGCGGACAGUGUCUGGUGGGUAGUUUGACUGGGGCGGUCUCCUCCCAAAGCGUAACGGAGGAGCACGAAGGUUAGCUAAUCCUGGUCGGACAUCAGGAGGUUAGUGCAAUGGCAUAAGCUAGCUUGACUGCGAGCGUGACGGCGCGAGCAGGUGCGAAAGCAGGUCAUAGUGAUCCGGUGGUUCUGAAUGGAAGGGCCAUCGCUCAACGGAUAAAAGGUACUCCGGGGAUAACAGGCUGAUACCGCCCAAGAGUUCAUAUCGACGGCGGUGUUUGGCACCUCGAUGUCGGCUCAUCACAUCCUGGGGCUGAAGUAGGUCCCAAGGGUAUGGCUGUUCGCCAUUUAAAGUGGUACGCGAGCUGGGUUUAGAACGUCGUGAGACAGUUCGGUCCCUAUCUGCCGUGGGCGCUGGAGAAUUGAGGGGGGCUGCUCCUAGUACGAGAGGACCGGAGUGGACGCAUCACUGGUGUUCGGGUUGUCAUGCCAAUGGCACUGCCCGGUAGCUAAAUGCGGAAGAGAUAAGUGCUGAAAGCAUCUAAGCACGAAACUUGCCCCGAGAUGAGUUCUCCCUGAGACUUUAAGUCUCCUGAAGGAACGUUGAAGACGACGACGUUGAUAGGCCGGGUGUGUAAGCGCAGCGAUGCGUUGAGCUAACCGGUACUAAUGAACCGUGAGGCUUAACCUU
This 2758-nucleotide ribosomal RNA is filed under the name Klebsiella pneumoniae. RNAcentral describes it as "bacterial LSU rRNA". It matches the Rfam family "Bacterial large subunit ribosomal RNA". The record is from RNAcentral. Lineage: Bacteria; Pseudomonadati; Pseudomonadota; Gammaproteobacteria; Enterobacterales; Enterobacteriaceae.